AGGACAGGGAAGGGACAUGUCAGUCUAAAGUAAUAUCAAAGAGAGAGAGAGCAGUGCUGGAGACAUCAUGAGCGUGACUGACCAUGAGCAUCUAUCUGUAAGUUUCCAAUUGCCUGUGGGCUUCAAUGGCCUAACCAACACCACCAGCAACAGCAGCAAAAGCAAUGAAUGAUCCUCAAAAGAUUUCCCCAAUUCAAGCUGAAAAACACUAUUUAAAAAAGAGUUAAAUGGUUUUAACUCUUUUGAAAAAUAACCUUAGAAACCACCAGUGGUUUCUUAAAAGGCUUCUGUAAAGAUCAAGUGUACAAAAGGCACACAGUGGCAGAUCAGCUUUCUAUCACGACUCGCCGGCUCCGACACAGCUUCUUGGAAGGAACGGAGACCACUGGACAAGAGAAGAGGCACAUAACAAUACAUCACACUAAAACGUGCAGACAGCCCUUGGGCCGGAUGAGGCACCACGAGAUAAAGGCUGUUCCGUUUGUUCACUCUCUUGUAGCAAACAAAAUGGAAUCCAGCACAUAACCACAAAGACCUUCAAUAGCAGAACAUAAAAAUGAC
This 561-nucleotide long non-coding RNA is filed under the name Mus pahari (shrew mouse). Its description in RNAcentral is "lncRNA (MGP_PahariEiJ_G0002503.1)". The record is from RNAcentral. Lineage: Eukaryota; Metazoa; Chordata; Mammalia; Rodentia; Muridae.